Molecule: long non-coding RNA, 4144 nt
Organism: Oenanthe melanoleuca
Lineage: Eukaryota; Metazoa; Chordata; Aves; Passeriformes; Muscicapidae
Exons: 4
Source: RefSeq, a predicted model, not a curated record
UCAUUUCUAGAGCUGCCUCAGCUACCAGCAGUGGCAGGGGUGGCUGUGUUGUCCCAGCACUGCCCACCUUGCAAGGAUGCAAGCUUUGGUGCUGCAGCAGCUCCCUGACAGCUCUGAGAACCCCAGCACCCAAAACAAUUUGCAGGGAAACCUCUCUUGGCCUUGCAGCUUGCAAUGGGCAUGCAGUCAACCUGCAGCAAGGAAAAGGUGGGAAGCUUGCUCCAAGCAACAGCCUGAUUCCUGAGAUCCUGCAGAGAGCUGGUUCCUUGGAAAGAAGAGCUACACCUGACAGUCCUGGACUUCAUUGAAGCUGGGAGUAUUCUGGUCAAGUACUGCAAGAAAGCACAGCAGAUCCUACAAUUCAGGUGCCUGCUGCUAUCCUUCUGAAAUGAUGCUCUUGUGUAUCAUGUACAAAGCAGACUUUAAAUCAGAAGAUAAUUUCAGUGCUUACCAGAUGGAAUUUGGGAGGCACAAUGAGGGCAGGUGAAAAGCUAGAAAGCCCCAGUGGCAGGGAUUUUGUGGAGCUUUUGAACCAACUUUCCAUCACUACAACUUGCUGCACAGUUAAAGCUUGUCACCAGCAAUGGAACUACAGAAAGAUAAAGUGAGAGACUCCAGUGGGAAACCUGAAGGUGGAGGGGAAGGCUGUUCAGCACCACUUGAGAAGCCAGGAAAUUCAGUUGCUGCAGUUCUGAACAAUUUUCUCAUCUCUGCCAUGUCAGGUGGGUGUUAAUGCUUCCACGUUGUUACCAGCACAGGGAUUUGCUGUGAAGAAAGAAGGAAAGUGUGACAGCAGCACAGGCAGGUGUCAGCAGCAGAGGGCCAGGUGGUGCAGGGUGGUGCUGGAGGGGUCCUGCCUCCACAUCUGUCAUCACCCAGGCUGCAGGACAGGUGAGAGGAGAAAUACAAAUAGCCAUGAAAGCAGUAAAGUAAACUAUUUAUAUGGAAGGUCAAAGCUGCUUUAUUGUUUUUAUCAGCUAGAUUAGGGUGAAAAAUGAGAAAUGCUGGGAGUGUUCCUGCAAAUGUUGCACAGCUCUGGGGCUGUGAACUACACACAACAGCCAGGCCACCAAGCCUGCCAGAGUUCAAGGAGAGUCUGGAGAAUGCUCUCAGGCUUGUGGUGGGAAUUUUGGGGGUGCUGUGCAGGGCCAGGAGCUGGACUGACAUUCUCUGUAUGUCCUUUCCAGCUCAGGACGCUCUACGACUCUCUGACUUGGUGAGUGGUGAAUUACCCACGUGUUUCCUGGGCUUGUGGGCUUAGCCUGGAAUGUUAAAUGGCUGUGGCAGAACUUCCUUAGCACAGAUAGCUGCUUUGUGUCCUCAGUAGCUUUUCCAAGCAGCACUUCUUCCUUUCCCACCUUCUCUCUGCGGGCUCUGAGGCUGCUGAACAGAUCUAAGCACACAGUUUUUUAAUGUGUCUCAGGAGUUGGCUUAGUCAUUUAAUGAUUUUGUGUAUCUAUAGCUCUUUUCCUGUCCUAGAUGCCCUCUCUCUCCAAAGCCUCUGCAUGGCACAAAGGUGCCUCUGGAAAGAAAGUGAUUGUCACCUAAAACCUCCUUGGGAUCAGUGACCUGCCAAUCAGGUACUAUCCAUGAUGUGGGUGAUUCUGAAUAUCAACACAGCUCACCUAGCACCUCCCAUCCUGCAGUUAAGAAGUGCCAGCAGGGAUGAAGGAUAAAUAAGGGUGUCAUUAAGCUAAUGAGAUCCAUAUGCUUGUGCAGUCAAAGAAAAGUGAACUAAAUGCAUUCAAGAGCCAAAGAGCAGAUGAAUGAACCACGACAGACAUCCUAAAUCAUGUUUAAAAGGCAAAUAUUGAUAUUUCUCACGCUUUUCUCCUGUAUGCAAAUCACAUCUCAAUAAGGCAUCUGGUAGAAGAGAACAUAUUUUGCCUUUGAGCUCAGAUGCAAACGACGCAAACCCAACUUGAGAGAGUAGCUGGAGGCUGCCAUGAUUCCUGGAGACCACAGACACUUGGGAGUCACAAACCAGACUUGCCAUCAUGAUAGAUGCUGAGCCUGAAAGUCAUUUAUAUGCAAAUCUGCACAAAUUAAUUGGAGGGGGUUUUUUUCCUAAAAAUGCAAACCACACAUUUUUCUCCUGGGAUCAAACUGCAAAUGUUGGUUUUGGGGAAUCCAGAAAUAGUUGCAGUCAGAAAGCACUUCAGUACCAGAGAAAUUAUAUUCUUUCUUCUGUUUCCAUGUUACUUGUACAGAAGGGAAAAAAGAGAAUCCAACCAGCAUUAAUGAGCUUGCUAUUAUUUUUCAGUAAAGGUGUAACUCGGAGAAUUUUCACAUUGCAAUGCACUUGCUCUCUAUUGCUGCUGGAACUGACAUUUAUUGUGUUGCAAGGUCAGUAAGAUCAGCCCACCUUUCUCCAUCAGUGACAUAAUUUAAUUGGGCAAAUUAUGUCUCGUACAUAGUGGUGGCAGAGGGCUUCGAGCUUCAGGCUCCCCUCCUGAGAAAAUGCCCAAAUCCCUCUCCUUGCCUUUAAUGUGCUGCUUUGAGUGCACAGAGCUCCCAGCUGAGUUGGUGUGGGGUGGAGGAGCUACUCUGCCUGUGAGAAGCUGUCACUGCACCAGGCAUGGUUGUCACAGCACAGGCACAUGGCUGCUGCUGCUUGUGAUUAAGGUUUGAAUUGUGAAUUUAGGGCGAAUAGGCUUUAAGGUCUCUUCCAACACCAGACAUUCUGUGGUUCUGUGAUUCUGCAAUAUAUCACAUGCCUGGGCUAGGGGAGCAAGCUGAGGCUGCUAAAUAAUGUUUGGCUUAAGGGCAGUCAGAUGUGUUUUCUUAUCUGAUAUCCUUCUCAUAUAUAUGUGUUUUUGCCUUGUGAUGAUAUUCUUAUUUUUCUCACCACCCUUUCAGGGAACAGGAAGAAAAGAGACACCCUUUCCCUUGGCUUCCUCGACUAUCUUCCUGAAAGGCCAAAAGCUGUGGAUGCUCAUCAGAUUGAGUUCACCUGCCUCAGUGCUGGAGGGCUGAGCAGGGCAGCACGUGUGGACACACUGUCACAAACAGACUCUACACCAGCACCCAUAGCAAGAGAUGGAAAUGUCUGGAAAUAACAUUUGUGGGUUUCAGCCAAGCAAAGAUUUUCAUAAAACACAGUUUCAGGCUGGUAGCCCAGAGCUUCCAGACUUCCUGCAUGUUGGAGUGGGAAGGUAGAGCUUUAAAGCUGUAAAAUGAUGAUAACUGAACCCAAAAUGGAGAAAUUGAGUGUAGAAAGCACUGGCUGGUUAGCACCAGCUAGGGACUUGCCUCCCAGCUCCUCUGAAUGAUCUGAUUACACAAGUAGUUGUUGUGGUUUGUGUUUGUUUUGUUUCUAUCCCUGCUGUUCUGGGAUUUGACCACAUUGCAACAUCUCCAGCUCGGUGCCUGCUGCAAAGGGCUCCUCGUGGUCCACAGCACUCCUCUAAUCACUGAAAUAUGACCCAGCUCGUGGGAUUGGGGCCGGUGCUCCAAGUGUGACCUCAGUGCUGCUUAUCAGACUCUUCUGCAGCCAGGCGUGGCACUGUCCCGUGCUGGCGGCGCUGCCAGGCGAUUAAUUAAUGCGCUAAUGACACUCCCUGCCCUCGCUUCACAUGGUAAAGGCAUCAAGAGAUCACAACAGUUCUCCUUGGCAGGUGAAAGGAAAUCCCUCUCCUCCAGAUUAAGUGAAUUAAGAUGAGAGUGACAUUCCUGCUUCACGAGGAGUACAGCAAAGGCUUUUUUAUGGCUCAGGAUAGAGCAGAAUAGUUGCAUUUUCCCUUUUCUUCUCACUCACCCAAAAGGUUUAGUUUGGGAGCUCAUAAUAACCAGCCUCAUGAAGUGUACCAUAUGUUUUAGGCUUUUUUUAAUUACUGUAGCCUUUACAGCCCCAGCUAAAUGUCAUACUUGGUGCUUUGUUUUACAAUUAAAUCUCUCCUUUGGGGAGUUCCUAAAAUCUUUUUCUCUCGUUGUCUGUGAAGUGUAAAGUAGAACUGCAAAUUUACAUUACUCUGGGCAAACAACAGUUCUGCUUAGAAAAUAAACUUUAAAGUGUUAUUAUAUGAAGAUGCUUUUUAUUAAAUGCUGUGUUGGUGCCACAUAACAAGAAUGCAGGCGAUAAAGGAUAUUUCCACUCUCUCUUCAUUGCCUUGCAUAAGGCAAACUGUUGUUUUAUAAUUUGAAG